Actinia tenebrosa (Australian red waratah sea anemone) is the source of this 241-nucleotide long non-coding RNA. The record is from RefSeq and is a predicted model, not a curated record. NCBI's taxonomy places the organism in Eukaryota, Metazoa, Cnidaria, Anthozoa, Actiniaria, Actiniidae.
UGUAGGAAUACCAAAGGAAGUUACACUUGCACCUGUAGAACAGGAUAUCAGGGAAAGAACUGUGAACAAGAUGUGAAUGAAUGUCUGAAAAACCCCUGCAGAAAUGGCGGUUCCUGUAGGAAUACCAAAGGAGGCUACACGUGCUCCUGUAGAACAGGAUAUCAGGGGAAGAACUGUGAACAAGUUUCAGGAUGUAGCGGAUAUACCGUACUCAACCAAGCUGACCGAGCAAAAGGAUUUU